UACAUGCAAGUCGAGCGGACAGAUGGGAGCUUGCUCCCUGAUGUUAGCGGCGGACGGGUGAGUAACACGUGGGUAACCUGCCUGUAAGACUGGGAUAACUCCGGGAAACCGGGGCUAAUACCGGAUGCUUGUUUGAACCGCAUGGUUCAAACAUAAAAGGUGGCUUCGGCUACCACUUACAGAUGGACCCGCGGCGCAUUAGCUAGUUGGUGAGGUAAUGGCUCACCAAGGCAACGAUGCGUAGCCGACCUGAGAGGGUGAUCGGCCACACUGGGACUGAGACACGGCCCAGACUCCUACGGGAGGCAGCAGUAGGGAAUCUUCCGCAUUGGACGAAAGUCUGACUGAGCAACGCCGCGUGAGUGAUGAAGGUUUUCGG
This 379-nucleotide ribosomal RNA is filed under the name Bacillus sp. LT24. RNAcentral's name for it is "bacterial SSU rRNA". It matches the Rfam family "Bacterial small subunit ribosomal RNA", at positions 52 to 421 of the family's 1533-position model. The record is from RNAcentral. Lineage: Bacteria; Bacillati; Bacillota; Bacilli; Caryophanales; Bacillaceae.